GGAGCAAAUGGCAAAACACGGCUUUCUGCUCUGACUUUCCCAGGUCCACGCCUCUCCGCCCCUUCUUGCACCUGGGACCUUCUGAGGAUGUCCCACCCCUCCCUUGGGCGGGGCCAACACCGAGGAACCCGGAUUCUCACCCCCUCCCCCAAGACCCCGUAUCUCCAGCCCCCGCCGGCUCCAGGGAAUAGGAGGAGACGCCGACGCUGGGGGGAGGGGCUGCGGCCUACCCGGGGCCUCGAGGGCGCUGCUUUACGGCAGAGAUGGGCUGGGGUCGCAGUCACACCGUUUACCCCGGCGUGAGCGCCGGAGCUCACCUGGUUUUUCCCGCAGGCCCGCGGCCUCCGUCAGAGAGACACAGCGAGAGAGGGAACACAAGCAGGGGGAGUGGCAGAGGGAGAAGCAGGCUUCCCGCUGAGCAGGGAGCCCAAUGUGGGGCUCAAUCCCAGGACCCUGGGAUCAUGACCUGAGCCGGAGGCAGGCGCUUAACGGCUAAGCCAUCCAGAGACACAGAGAGAGAAGGAACACAGCAGGGGAAGUGGGAGAGGGAGAAGCAGGCCUCCCGCUGAGCAGGGAGCCAGAUGUGGGGCUCCAUCCCAGGACCCUGGGAUCAUGACCUGAGCCGAAGGCAGACGCUUAGCGACUGAGCCACCCAGGCACCCCGAGUCCGGGGAGGCAGAGUGAAAUGAAAGAGAAAUGAAAACGAAGAAGCCAGUGCUGGUGUUUUGGAUUGCAGUUCUGCCUUUCAAUAUUACAUGGUGUCAGGAGUGACGUCCAAAGUGACCAGUCGCCAUCUCCAGCACCGCCAUGGAUUUGAGUGAGGUA
Long non-coding RNA from Mirounga angustirostris (Northern elephant seal), 825 nucleotides. RefSeq lists it as uncharacterized. Lineage: Eukaryota; Metazoa; Chordata; Mammalia; Carnivora; Phocidae. The record is from RefSeq and is a predicted model, not a curated record. The transcript has 5 exons.